Long non-coding RNA from Seriola dumerili (greater amberjack), 342 nucleotides. RefSeq lists it as uncharacterized. The record is from RefSeq and is a predicted model, not a curated record. NCBI's taxonomy places the organism in Eukaryota, Metazoa, Chordata, Actinopteri, Carangiformes, Carangidae. The transcript has 6 exons.
GUGAGGUCUUGGAGUAAAGAAGAAACCUACAAGUCACUGACAGAGGCUAAACCAGAGUGCUGUGUUGGUGAAGACGCAGAGUCGAAGAGAUUUGAUGACUUCGAUGACGACACCUUUGUGGGUCUAAUGGGAAGGAGAAGUGCAGCUCAACUAAACAGUCACAGAUUCUCCCCAAUGUCAAGAAAAAGACACAUGGACCACAUCCUAGCUGAUCUGCUGGGGAGGAGGACAAGAACGGCUUGCCCGUGUACACAGGAGUAUUUUCAGCAAAGGAGAGGCUGAUUCAUCAAUCAUCAGGCAGAGGUUCUAAUGGUUUCUGUAAUGGAGAUGUCACACCGCCCC